Molecule: long non-coding RNA, 273 nt
Organism: Tachysurus fulvidraco (yellow catfish)
Lineage: Eukaryota; Metazoa; Chordata; Actinopteri; Siluriformes; Bagridae
Exons: 3
Source: RefSeq, a predicted model, not a curated record
CGAUACACAUUAAAAUAUGCUGACAAGGGAAAUGAGGGACUUUGCUGUCUCUUAAGAAGACGACUGUCAGAGGUGUCGGAACAGUUGCAAGUUGUCCUCCAACAGUACAAGACUGCUUUAGGUCCUGAGGCCUCUGUCCUUCUACAUGUUGAAGCAGAAGAUCCAAGUGGCCUCAGUAGUCCAGACACCAGUGAGGAUGAAGAGGAAAACACAGUUUAGAUGGAAGGACUGUGUUGAAGGAAAUGGACUCGCCCUAUAUCUGUAUAUUAUUAU